UUUGACCUCCAGCCCAAUCCUGGGAGAUAGAAAAACCAUUAUUAUCCCAUUUCACAGAUGGAUCAAAGGAGGCACAAAAUGGCCAAGUACUUGCCCAAAGUCACACACUGGUGAGUAGAAGAGCCCUAUGGUCCUGUGCAGAGCAGUAUGAAGACCUCUGCAAAGGUGACACACAGAACGUUUUGUUCAGUGCCCUGGUCUCUGGCCUGGGGUCUGUGGGCGAUGAUGUGGAGAAAGGAUGCUGAAGGCAGACUGGCAGGAACAUGGUGUGGAAUUGAAUCUCAUUCUGUCAUCUGCAAGGAUGUGUGGCCUUGGAUCUUAGGCAAGUUACUAAUUUCUUCAAAGACACUAUUUCCUCGCUGGUGAAGGGGAAUUACUAAUGGUGCUUUCUUUACAGUAUUAUGAGGGUUGAAUUGAAUAACACAUGUAAAGCUUUCAGAACAGUGUCAGGGGGGCAGUGAGGUCUCAUGCUUGAAACGACAGAAGUAAUGACCCCAUCAUUGUCUGGACAGUCAGGGGUUCUUACAGGGUGCUCUGGAAUGCCAGCCUUGUCCUCCCUGUCCCUGGUGUCUGGCCAGGUUGACCUCAGCUCAGCUAUAAUGGGCUCAGGCUUUUCACCUUAUUUAGCUUUUCCGAGGCAGAGUCCAUAGGCCAUCAAGAGGGAAUGAAGAUCUCUACUCUGGCUGCUCAUGAGGGGGUCACCCCCAGAUAGGGCCAAACCACAUGGCUUGAUGUUCCUGCAUGACUGUUUUGCUCACUGCAGAGUCCCUGCCCCUCUUAGGAGAGGUCUGUGUGGCUAGGUAUCUUCUUAUUGAGGAAAGAACCAGCCCCUGGGGGUGGCUACCUGAGGGCUCAAGCCUUCCUGAAGCAUGAGGCUUCUAGCAAGCUCAACUCCACGGUCUGGUGCCCCACACUCUGUAUUUGCUCUUAAGUCUCUUUAAUUUCCCCAUGCACUGAUAACCUUGAGGACAAAGCUCAACAAUGGGUUUUUGUUGACUAAUGAAUUCACUAUUCUUUCAGCUACUAGAAAUUUGUAAAAAUCCCCAUUCAAUGGGAGCUGAAGCCAUUCGGAAUGGUAUCAAGUGGGAGAGAGUCUCUCUCUCUCUUUCUCUCUCUCUCUCUCACACACACACACACACACACACACACGCACGCACACGUACACGCACACACACACACACACACACACAGAAUGUGAAAAUUGGGGGGGGAUAGUUCUAGGGACGUCUGAGGUACAUGCAUUCCCCUGCAAUCUUUUUUAUUUAAAAAGAGCACAAACCAUAGUGUGACAACUGCAGUCCUCUUUUUUCCCACUAAAAAAAAUAGACACAAACCACGCUGUAAAACCCUAACAGAAAUGUUGCUUUAAUCACUCCUAAUCCCAUCACUCAAGCAAAUCAACUGUUUUUAAUCUUCCCUUCCAGAGCCUGACUGUAAGCAGACAUGUUUCUAAACAACUAUAAUCAUAACACAGUUUUGCAUUCUGUUUCUUCCUUAUAUCUUAACCCUUGCCCUGCAGUCUUCAUAGGCAUCAUUUUUAAUGGCUCACUCAAUUCCAUCAAGUGGAAGCUUCUGAAAUUUACUUACCAUCCCCCUAGACGAAUAUUACAUAAUUUCCUGAAAGAGCCAAAAUUAGCUGGGAAACAAACAUCUAGGUGAUUUCUAUAAUUUCUCAAUGUUAUUGAGCUCUAGAAAUGCCUGGCCUUAAAAAGCUUCUUGGGAAAGAUACAUUGCUGAUCCAAGACUGGAGCUCUUCUCUACUUAUUUAAAUACAUGUCCUUUUUUUCCUAAGGAGGCUCAAGUCCAGAUCCCUUGCACACACUGUUUGUCUUUUCAACAGCACAACCAGGGAUUGUUCCUUUCAAUAGUGUUUUUCAAUGGGAAUUCAAUUUGUGCUCCAUCUUGUCACCACCAUCACCAGCAUCAUCAUGAUCGUCUUUCUAAGAGCUGCCGUUUAUUGAGCAUUUUCCCUGUGCCAGGCACUCUAAAUAUUAUUUUUGCAUCAUUAUUUUGUUUAAUCCCAUUAGUUGUCACUGUUAUUGUCCUCAGUUACAGAUAAGGAAACUGAGGCUCAAGAUGGUGAAGUGGCUUGUCCAAAGUCUAGUGGCUCUUAAAUGUCGGAGGCUGACUACCUCAUUCCAUCCCACAACCCCUUGCAGCUUCCUUAGGUAUAAGUACCACCCAGCUCCUUAAGCAAGGGCCUUUCUGCAGUGUGGAGUUUGGUCUAAAUCUCCCAAGAUGGGCUGCUGGGCCCAAGGUGCCUUCCCCGCAGUGCAUCUCUCUUUGGGUAGAAAAGCCAGUCUUCCUCCACCCCACAGGAACCCUGGACAGGAUAGUGUGUGCCUGGCUUACAUGGAAACUGAGAAGCCUGUGUCUGGCAGAAGUUGGGGCCCAGAAACAGGACAAGCCUUGCCUAAGGUCACAGGGUGAGUCAUUGGCCCAGAUAGGCUAUAACCUUGGUCUCCUGACCUAUGACCAGCGUUCUGUCCUCCUCAUUGGGAGAUGAUUUCAAUGGAUUGCAUCUGAAACUAGAGAGGCUUUAGAGCUGGCCAACAGCUCUGCCCUUGGAACAGGCUGGUGCAGUCACAUAACCAGAGAGUCCAGGGCAAAAAUUGGAAAGAAGGCAGUGACUGGUGCCCAGUGUGGUGGACAGAGGUGAAGAAACAGCACAGACUUGAGUGUGUGAGGAACACAGUCCAGGGCCCAGCCCAGCUUUGGCUACUGGCCUGCCUGGUCAGGCUUAUCACAGAAGCCUGACCAAAGGGAUUUCCUAAAAGGAAAUGGUGUUUUGCUCUUUUGAGUCUUCCAUAAGCAGUAAAAAUCCUGAGAGGGACCUUCAAGAUGACCAUAUCUCUCCUGGGCAAGAACAGAGACUGCUACAGGAACAGAGACAACUUCUGCUACUCAUUCAUUCAACAGGUACUUAUUGAAGCUUUCUGUGUCAGACAAUGGGGUUAACUGAGGGAAUAAGACAGACAAGCUUUCUAUCUUUGUGCAACAUCUAUCUCAACAGGGAUAAUAAGCUAGUCAACAAGCAAGAUCCUUCCUGAAGACAAGUGAUGGGAAGGAGACAAUCUGAGUGGUGUGGCAGAGACCGUGACUGGAGUGGGGUGUUGUCAUGUGUUGGAAACAGAUGCUCGGUGCCACACAGAAAAAUCAGCACUGAGAAAAAAGAUCUCCCAGCAAGGCAAUUUUACUUCCUGCAGAAAGGGUGCUCCUGUUAGCUAUCUUGCUAUGAGAGUACAAUGAACAAAGGAAAACAUAUUUAUCCUCUAUGCCCUUGAGGUGGUCUUUACUGCUGUGUCUGAUCUCUGUUGGUUGGAGCCAGAUGUCACAAUCUAAACUAAAACUUGAUUGUCCAACAACUUAAAACUUUUCUAAACCGGUAAAAGCAAUGGAGAACAAAAGAAAAAGAGGAAGUCUAAAUAAGGAAGGGACAGGAAGUUGCUUGCAACAUAAAUAUCUUGGUUAAAGCACAAGGACAUAGAAUGUACUUAUUCCUUUAUAUCUAACAGUUACAUAGGAUAGGGCUUAACAAAGAGUCACUGGCAAAAAGCAAGAGGGCUUUGAAGAGAGUUAGUCUUUAAAAGAGACUAUUACUUCUAACAUUUAUUAUUAUUAUUAUUUAACAAGAAAGGAAACUUUGAAGUGGAAUUU
This is a long non-coding RNA of Callithrix jacchus (white-tufted-ear marmoset), 3657 nucleotides long. The record is from Ensembl. Lineage: Eukaryota; Metazoa; Chordata; Mammalia; Primates; Cebidae.